GAUGAACGCUGGCGGCGUGCCUAAUACAUGCAAGUCGAGCGAACAGACGAGGAGCUUGCUCCUCUGACGUUAGCGGCGGACGGGUGAGUAACACGUGGAUAACCUACCUAUAAGACUGGGAUAACUUCGGGAAACCGGAGCUAAUACCGGAUAAUAUAUUGAACCGCAUGGUUCAAUAGUGAAAGACGGUUUUGCUGUCACUUAUGGAUGGAUCCGCGCCGCAUUAGCUAGUUGGUAAGGUAACGGCUUACCAAGGCAACGAUGCGUAGCCGACCUGAGAGGGUGAUCGGCCACACUGGAACUGAGACACGGUCCAGACUCCUACGGGAGGCAGCAGUAGGGAAUCUUCCGCAAUGGGCGAAAGCCUGACGGAGCAACGCCGCGUGAGUGAUGAAGGUCUUCGGAUCGUAAAACUCUGUUAUUAGGGAAGAACAAAUGUGUAAGUAACUAUGCACGUCUUGACGGCACCUAAUCAGAAAGCCACGGCUAACUACGUG
Molecule: ribosomal RNA, 497 nt
Filed under: uncultured bacterium
Lineage: Bacteria
Description: partial 16S ribosomal RNA
Rfam family: Bacterial small subunit ribosomal RNA
Source: RNAcentral